CCUACGGGUGGCAGCAGUGAGGACUAUUGGUCAAUGGGCGCGCGCCUGAACCAGCCAAGUAGCGUGAAGGAUGACUGCCCUACGGGUUGUAAACUUCUUUUAUAAAGGCAUAAAGUGAGCCACGUGUGCCUUUUUGUAUGUACUUUAUGAAUAAGGAUCGGCUAACUCCGUGCCAGCCGCCGCGGUAAUACUGAGGCUCCGAGCGUUAUCCGGAUUUAUUGGGUUUAAAGGGAGCGUAGAUGGUUUGUUAAGGCAGUUGUGAAAGUUUGCGGCUCAACCGGAAAAUUGCAAUUGAUACUGGCAGCCUUGAGUACGGUUGAGGUAGGCGGAAUGCGUGGUGUAGCGGUGAAAUGCAGAGAUAUCACGAAGAACUCCGAUUGCGAAGGCAGCCUACUAAACUGCCACUGACAUUGAUGCUCGAAAGUGUGGGUAUCAAACAGGAUUAGAUACCCUAGUAGUC
This 460-nucleotide ribosomal RNA is filed under the name uncultured bacterium. RNAcentral's name for it is "partial 16S ribosomal RNA". It matches the Rfam family "Bacterial small subunit ribosomal RNA", at positions 338 to 795 of the family's 1533-position model. The record is from RNAcentral.